CCUACGGGAGGCAGCAGUAGGGAAUCUUCCGCAAUGGACGAAAGUCUGACGGAGCAACGCCGCGUGAACGAUGAAGGCCUUCGGGUCGUAAAGUUCUGUUGUUAGGGAAGAACAAGUGCUAGUUAAAUAAGCUGGCACCUUGACGGUACCUAACCAGAAAGCCACGGCUAACUACGUGCCAGCAGCCGCGGUAAUACGUAGGUGGCAAGCGUUGUCCGGAAUUAUUGGGCGUAAAGCGCGCGCAGGCGGUUUCUUAAGUCUGAUGUGAAAGCCCCCGGGCUCAACCGGGGAGGGUCAUUGGAAACUGGGAAACUUGAGUGCAGAAGAGGAAAGUGGAAUUCCAAGUGUAGCGGUGAAAUGCGUAGAGAUUUGGAGGAACACCAGUGGCGAAGGCGACUUUCUGGUCUGUAACUGACGCUGAGGCGCGAAAGCGUGGGGAGCAAACAGGAUUAGAUACCCUGGUAGUCCACGCUGUAAACGAUGAGUGCUAAGUGUUAGAGGGUUUCCGCCCUUUAGUGCUGAAGUUAACGCAUUAAGCACUCCGCCUGGGGAGCGGUCGCAAGACUGAAACUNAAAGNGAUGCGNGNGAGAGNGCGACGACGACGAGAGGGAG
Molecule: ribosomal RNA, 613 nt
Filed under: uncultured bacterium
Lineage: Bacteria
Description: bacterial SSU rRNA
Rfam family: Bacterial small subunit ribosomal RNA
Source: RNAcentral